ACACUCUGGAAAGAGGCUGAGCAGCUUUCACACUCAGCCCACCGACGGAUGUAAGACGCAGGCCCAUCGGCGGCCGUCGUCCAUGAUCUCAGGUCACAGGACAGAGGGGGCUCU
This 114-nucleotide non-coding RNA is filed under the name Hyphomicrobium sp. GJ21. RNAcentral's name for it is "Glycine". It matches the Rfam family "Glycine riboswitch aptamer". From Rfam's summary of the family: This family represents the bacterial glycine riboswitch. Glycine riboswitches usually consist of two metabolite-binding aptamers domains with similar structures in tandem. The aptamers cooperatively bind glycine to regulate the expression of downstream genes. Lineage: Bacteria; Pseudomonadati; Pseudomonadota; Alphaproteobacteria; Hyphomicrobiales; Hyphomicrobiaceae. The record is from RNAcentral.